This 253-nucleotide ribosomal RNA is filed under the name uncultured bacterium. RNAcentral's name for it is "partial 16S ribosomal RNA". It matches the Rfam family "Bacterial small subunit ribosomal RNA", at positions 524 to 776 of the family's 1533-position model. The record is from RNAcentral.
UACAGAGGGGGCCAGCGUUAUUCGGAAUUACUGGGCGUAAAGGGCUCGUAGGUGGCCAACUAAGUCAGACGUGAAAUCCCUCGGCUUAACCGGGGAACUGCGUCUGAUACUGGAUGGCUUGAGUUCGGGAGAGGGAUGCGGAAUUCCAGGUGUAGCGGUGAAAUGCGUAGAUAUCUGGAGGAACACCGGUGGCGAAGGCGGCAUCCUGGACCGAUACUGACGCUGAGGAGCGAAAGCCAGGGGAGCAAACAGG